UCACCAGAUUUUAUAAUUCCUCUCUUCGUUUUGUGCUCUGCUAACCAUUCUUCAACAACAGAGUCCAUUUCUCUAGAAACCUUCUUCAUUGCUUUCUCAUGGCCUCCUAUAUCCAGCCAUCUUAAAUAAGGUAAAAAAUCAGCCACAACAAAAGCUCCUAACAAUUCGAAAAAUCUUCGAAUUGCUUUGUGAGCCUUAUUUAUUCCUUCGUCCUCAUUACUCCUUCGCCCUUUUCCGAAUAACAUUUUCCCCAUA
Solanum stenotomum is the source of this 255-nucleotide long non-coding RNA. RefSeq lists it as uncharacterized. The record is from RefSeq and is a predicted model, not a curated record. The transcript is spliced from 2 exons. Lineage: Eukaryota; Viridiplantae; Streptophyta; Magnoliopsida; Solanales; Solanaceae.